This 214-nucleotide long non-coding RNA is filed under the name Capsella rubella. RNAcentral describes it as "long non-coding RNA (CRUB_LNC001978)". The record is from RNAcentral. Lineage: Eukaryota; Viridiplantae; Streptophyta; Magnoliopsida; Brassicales; Brassicaceae.
UUAAAUAGUAACAAGAGGAAAAACACAAAACACAACACAUAUUUUAGUUUUUAAUAUAAACUUCUUUAAAAAAAAAAUAAAAAAAAUGAGAGCUUUGAUUUUGGUACCCCGGAGACGACGGGGAUACAUAUGUUCGAGAGACUGUCUCAUCUCAUCUCUCUCUCUCUCUCUGACUCCUUUGUUUAUUUCUUAAGUUUCUCCCCCACUCUCUUCG